This 446-nucleotide ribosomal RNA is filed under the name uncultured bacterium. RNAcentral describes it as "partial 16S ribosomal RNA". It matches the Rfam family "Bacterial small subunit ribosomal RNA", at positions 338 to 795 of the family's 1533-position model. The record is from RNAcentral.
CCUACGGGUGGCAGCAGUCGAGAAUCAUUCACAAUGGGGGAAACCCUGAUGGUGCGACGCCGCGUGGGGGAAUGAAGGUCUUCGGAUUUUAAACCCCUGUCAUGUGGGAGCAAAGUAAAAAGAUAGUACCACAAGAGGAAGAGGCGGCUAACUCUGUGCCAGCAGCCGCGGUAAUACAGAGGUGUCAAGCGUUGUUCGGAAUCACUGGGCGUAAAGGGUGCGUAGGCGGUUUCGUAAGUCGUGUGUGAAAGGCGCGGGCUCAACCCGCGGACGGCACAUGAUACUGCGAGACUAGAGUGAUGGAGGGGGAACCGGAAUUCUCGGUGUAGCAGUGAAAUGCGUAGAUAUCGAGAGGAACACUCGUGGCGAAGGCGGGUUCCUGGACAUUAACUGACGCUGAGGCACGAAGGCCAGGGGAGCGAAAGGGAUUAGAUACCCGAGUAGUC